AGCAUUAUCAUUGAUCUCGUAAUUGGUGACUCGGCAGAAGGAUUGGAGGAGAUAUAAACUGUCUUAAAAAUAUUUAAUUGAAUUUAAUUUUUUAAUUAAAAAGUUAAGAUAAAUUAAAAAGACGAGAAGACCCUAUAGAGUUUUAUAUUAAUUUAAAUUAAAAUUAUUUAUAAAUUUAUUAGUAUAAAUUUAAUUUUGUAUUUUAUUGGGGUGAUAAAAAAAUAAAUUAAACUUUUUUUAAAAAUUUACAUAAAUAAGUGAAUUAUUGAUCCAAUUUUAUUGAUUAUAAGAAAAAAUUACCUUAGGGAUAACAGCGUAAUUUUUUUUUUUAGUUCUAGUGAAAAA
RNAcentral lists this ribosomal RNA (345 nucleotides) under Attacus atlas. RNAcentral's name for it is "partial 16S ribosomal RNA". The record is from RNAcentral. Lineage: Eukaryota; Metazoa; Arthropoda; Insecta; Lepidoptera; Saturniidae.